RNAcentral lists this ribosomal RNA (429 nucleotides) under Chloroflexota bacterium. RNAcentral describes it as "Chloroflexi bacterium partial 16S ribosomal RNA". It matches the Rfam family "Bacterial small subunit ribosomal RNA", at positions 355 to 776 of the family's 1533-position model. Lineage: Bacteria; Bacillati; Chloroflexota. The record is from RNAcentral.
UGGGGAAUAUUGCACAAUAGGCGCAAGCCUGAUGCAGCCAUGCCGCGUGUAUGAAGAAGGCCUUCGGGUUGUAAAGUACUUUCAGCGGGGAGGAAGGGAGUAAAGUUAAUACCUUUGCUCAUUGACGUUACCCGCAGAAGAAGCACCGGCUAACUCCGUGCCAGCAGCCGCGGUAAUACGGAGGGUGCAAGCGUUAAUCGGAAUUACUGGGCGUAAAGCGCACGCAGGCGGUUUGUUAAGUCAGAUGUGAAAUCCCCGGGCUCAACCUGGGAACUGCAUCUGAUACUGGCAAGCUUGAGUCUCGUAGAGGGGGGUAGAAUUCCAGGUGUAGCGGUGAAAUGCGUAGAGAUCUGGAGGAAUACCGGUGGCGAAGGCGGCCCCCUGGACGAAGACUGACGCUCAGGUGCGAAAGCGUGGGGAGCAAACAGG